Long non-coding RNA from Drosophila nasuta, 550 nucleotides. RefSeq lists it as uncharacterized. Lineage: Eukaryota; Metazoa; Arthropoda; Insecta; Diptera; Drosophilidae. The transcript has 2 exons. The record is from RefSeq and is a predicted model, not a curated record.
UUUCCUUUCUUAAAGAGAGAUCUUUAAGUUUUUUGCUGUCAGAAUAUUUAGAUAUGAAUAUACUAUUUACAUUUUUUGAUAACAUAUGAGAAAAAUCUCUUUCUUCAAAAUGAACUAAAGUAUGCUGCUUGAAACUUUCUCGUGGGCAGCUUGUCAGUUGCCAGCUGCAAGUUGGUCUUGUAAGACAUUCGCCAAAGUUUCGGCCAAGUCACGUGUGGUUCUCAUCUACUGUUGCACGAAGUUCUAACUAACUUCCGGGAACAAACAAUUGCAACGUCUUGAUUUUCGCAGAACAAUGCAGCAAGUGUGGUCAGCUCUGUCGACUGUUAGACAAGACGUUUCCAUGGGUGCUGAAAGGAAAGUAAAAGAAGUACAAAUAAAUUUUACUAAAUGGCCACAUCAAUAUAAUUGCUUACGAUUGAAUGGUUGCAAUAACCGAAGCUUUAGUGUAGCACAGCACGCAAUAAAGCCAUCACUAGCACCAUCUAGCGGCGAGUGGUUGUACCAUAUGCAACAAACUACGAAACUUGGCGAAGCAAAAUAAGUAAUA